GGAGAGGUGUCCGAGUGGUUGAAGGAGGCGGUCUCGAAAACCGUUGUACGGGGCAACUCGUACCGUGGGUUCGAAUCCCACCCUCUCCG
Molecule: transfer RNA, 89 nt
Filed under: Lihuaxuella thermophila
Lineage: Bacteria; Bacillati; Bacillota; Bacilli; Caryophanales; Thermoactinomycetaceae
Rfam family: tRNA
About the family: Transfer RNA (tRNA) molecules are approximately 80 nucleotides in length.
Source: Rfam by way of RNAcentral